UCGAGGCUUGAGGAUGCACUUGUCCGCUAGAAGUGCGUUCGUUGGUUGCGUUUGAAAAGUUAACCUCAACUAGUUGGAUUAUAAAACCCAAAAAAAUAAUACGCACUGUUUCGUAAGUAGUUAUGUAUUUUACUGUCACCACACAGGAUUCAAAAGAGUUACCCCCUCAAAUAAUAAAAAAGGAAAAUCAAAAAAUUCGGAUUGCAAAACAACUAUUAAAAUACAUAUGUAUUAAAAUAACAACGAAAAACAGUAUCAAAAAGAAUAAAUUUGUUAAGGAUGGAAUGCCAGCCAUAAUUGUUUUUACUAUAAUCACAACCAUAAUUUGAAUUCCGCCGAAGCACUUUCAUAUUUGCACCCCUGUAAGGAUAUAUGAAAACAGUUUGAGGAAUAUUUUGAAUGUGGCUCUGGCAUACAAGAAGCAAUGAACUACCACGAAUCAAAACUUGAAUUAAAAUAUGGACCAGAAAGUGCAGAACUAGCUAAUUCUCAAAUUAAUCCCAAAUAUCGAUCAGUGCAGUUUUGGUUUGAAGAAUGGAGAACCAAAAAUUUAGGACCGCGUUCAGGUGAUGGUGUUGUACAAGCAAAUUCCAUACCAAUAAAAUAAAAUAGAAUGUAAAAAAUAUUUUGAACAUUUGUUUUAUGUCCUAUUGA
Molecule: long non-coding RNA, 654 nt
Organism: Anthonomus grandis grandis
Lineage: Eukaryota; Metazoa; Arthropoda; Insecta; Coleoptera; Curculionidae
Exons: 3
Source: RefSeq, a predicted model, not a curated record